Molecule: long non-coding RNA, 2498 nt
Organism: Asparagus officinalis (garden asparagus)
Lineage: Eukaryota; Viridiplantae; Streptophyta; Magnoliopsida; Asparagales; Asparagaceae
Exons: 3
Source: RefSeq, a predicted model, not a curated record
AGGAUUUUCCUUUAGGGCAUGACAUGUUUGGCUUUCGUGAAAAGAAAACGGGUAAAUUUUCACAAAACUGCUAUGAAAGGAUCUCGUCGCCGUCGUCGCCCCCGCUCUCCCCCUCGCCGUCGAUCUCAGCUCUGGCGAGGGUUUCGACGUCGUCUCCGCCGCUUUCAGCCAAGUGACACUUCACCACACUAGAUCCCCACUCCCACUUCCACAUCGAAGGCGACUGAGCCUAGCUUGCGACCGAGGGUUCUUUUCGAUCGAGCGCCUAGGGUUUCCGUAACAUGCGAAAGGUUCGACUCUGAUUGAUUUUUCUUCAAAUAUCAAGAUUGCGUAUUGAGGAACUGAAGGAUUUAAAGGAGGGAAUUGAGGAGGAGGAGGAGGAGAUCUUCACCCCUGCGCUUCUCUAUGAUCUUUUCAUCAGGAAGAAGAUCCAGGCGGAGUUUCGGUGGUUGAUGAGGUCUGUUUUCUCUAUUUUCUCUGUUUAAUUGGUAAUGGAUUUGUUUAGAAGACUGAAAAUUUUUCCAUCUUACGUAGAAUUGUGUUAUAAUGUUUGUUCGAUAAUAUUUGGAGGUUCUCUGCGUGGGAAUUUGGUAGUGAAAAGAGUUGGAUUUAUAUACAGAAUUCAAGUUUAAUCAAUUAAACAACAACCACCACCAGCGAAACUUUCUUGGUUACAUCCAACCUAGUUCUCUUAGGCCUAACUCUAGUACAUUUAGUAGUCUCUUCAAGUCUACGACACUCGUGAGGUGGAAGUUUCUAGAUAUGAUGCAGACAGAGGGCAUUUUCUAAAUUAUGAUGAGUCUACGAUAUUUCUUGAAUGCCAUCCUAUGUAUCUGGUUUUGGCGGUGAGAUGAUGAGCAUAAUAACCAACAAGAGUUAUUAAUAACUUGAAUGCAAAUCUUUGCAAACAUAAAAGGUGAAGAUUGUGUUAUCAAUUUGUUCUGCAUAGUUUGAUGAUGCACACGUUAUUCACCAUCAUGGUUCCUCUACUUUUUCUAAUAAGGAUACCAAAUUAAAAAUCCUUGCAAUUCUCAAGAUAUUAUCGUGAUUUUUAAAUGUAAUUCUCUUAUUUAUAGCUUCUUGAAUGUUUAUUUUUGGUUUCAAUAUUUAUCUUUUACAUUAAGCAUACUGCUCAUAUUCCAUGGUUCAUGUUUCACUUCUAUUACUGUUAAGCAAUAUUGAAAAUUAAGUCAUAAAUUAUCAUGUAUCAUUAUCACUACUCUCCACAAAAAUUAAGUCAUAAAUGGUUAAAUCCAAUCCAAAAGCAUCUCCACAAAAUUUAGAUCAUCCACUUUUGUGUGAGGCAUUGAUUGAUGUGUUAAAAGUUAUAAGCAAAGUUGUUUUAGAUGAUCAUCUUCAGGUCUUGUCCGUUUGACAUUUUGAAAGAACGCAUUUUGUAGCUUUGUUAAUGUUGGUGAUGUAAAAUCAUCUGAAUUGACCUGUUAUAACAUGAUGAGUAUUGUAUUAUUAUGCUAGUCCCGGUGUGCCUCUUUUGAUAUCUCUCGGUCUAUCUUCUGGCACUACAUGAUUUUCCAAUGUUACAGAAGACAUUUCUGUAACUUUUUAGAUAUUUAUUCUAUGUUUAUUUAAUUGAAGACAAUAUGUGCUUAGUUUCUAUUAAUUCUUUGUUGAGUUGAAGUUUCAGUGUAUAAUUCUGAGUUUUAUGGCUGUAACUUGGUCAUUGCAGUGUUUAUUUAGUUUGCUAUAUGGUUACCCCCCACCCAAAAAAAAGUGACUUUUUGAUUGAUAGAGUAAAUAUCGUGGUUAUUAUCCUCACACAUGCAUGAAUAUUGUGUUCACCACCUGUUAUUUCAAUCGGGAAAAAGUAAUUAUACCCUCUGUAAUAAUAGGUCAUAUUUUUCUUUAAAAAAAGGCCUAUAGAUCUGCAAAAUCUAGUUUAAACUAGAAGUUGUAAAGAGUUUAAACUGGGAAACGGUAAAGUAUGACUUUUGUGAUUCUUUCCAACAUGAGUGCAUUAUAGGGUUUUUUUGCUUCUGUGUUCUACUGAGGUUAUGUUCUUGAAUUUUUUUUCAUUGAUAUUCUUGUUUUGUUUCUUAAACAACGUUGCUCUAAUACAUUUGCUAUGAGUUUCUUUUGCUAGGUGCAGUUCCAUUUCCUAGUCAUGUUCAAUGCUUAAAAACUUGGUGUUUGUGGAGUAAUCACCUUAAAUGAGCCAUACGAAACAUUGGUGCCUACAUCAUUUUAUCUUAUGAUGGAUGAUUCUUUCUUCAUAUUAUUGGGAUAUGUGUUGUAUCUACCAUAGUAUCGAGUGGGCUUUAAGCCUAGUGAACCUUUGGAUAGUGCUACGGUUUAGGGGGUUACUGAAACUUGCAAAAUGUUUCACUGUCAUUUCUGAUUGUUCUUGGUACACACUUGCGGCUAUUGCUGCUGUUAGGCAGAUUAGUUGAAUCGUUUCUGAUUUGGUCCAUUCAUGUGUAAUUUGUCUCUAUUUAUGGACAGCAAGGCUCAAAGUACUACAAAAUCAAUGAAGGCAUUGA